GAUGAACGCUAGCUACAGGCUUAACACAUGCAAGUCGAGGGGAAACGACAUUGAAGCUUGCUUCGAUGGUCGUCGACCGGCGCACGGGUGAGUAACGCGUAUCCAACCUGCCUCUGACCAAGGGAUAACCCGUCGAAAGUCGGCCUAAUACCUUAUGCAGUCGUCGGAAGUCAUCUGAUGACGACGAAAGAUUUCAUCGGUGAGAGAUGGGGAUGCGUCUGAUUAGCUUGUUGGCGGGGUAACGGCCCACCAAGGCAACGAUCAGUAGGGGUUCUGAGAGGAAGGUCCCCCACAUUGGAACUGAGACCCGGUCCAAACUCCUACGGGAGGCAGCAGUGAGGAAUAUUGGUCAAUGGGCGAGAGCCUGAACCAGCCAAGUAGCGUGCAGGAUGACGGCCCUAUGGGUUGUAAACUGCUUUUAUGCGGGGAUAAAGUGAGGGACGUGUCCUUCAUUGCAGGUACCGCAUGAAUAAGGACCGGCUAAUUCCGUG
This 491-nucleotide ribosomal RNA is filed under the name uncultured bacterium. RNAcentral describes it as "partial 16S ribosomal RNA". It matches the Rfam family "Bacterial small subunit ribosomal RNA", at positions 28 to 507 of the family's 1533-position model. The record is from RNAcentral.